Triticum aestivum (bread wheat) is the source of this 129-nucleotide non-coding RNA. The record is from Rfam. NCBI's taxonomy places the organism in Eukaryota, Viridiplantae, Streptophyta, Magnoliopsida, Poales, Poaceae.
UUAGUACUCCCUUCGUCCGAAAAUACUUGUCAUCAAAAUGGACAAAAAGAUCUAGAACUAAAAUAAAUCUAGAUACAUCCUUUUUUAUUCAUUUUGAUGACAAUUAUUUUCGAACGGAGAAAGUAUAAG